AGAGGACGGGCUCAUCCGUGUCGGAUAUUGGGCGUAAGGGCUCGCAGGCGGUUUCUUAAGUCUGAUGUGAAAGCCCCCGGCUCAACCGGGGAGGGUCAUUGGAAACUGGGGAACUUGAGUGCAGAAGAGGAGAGUGGAAUUCCACGUGUAGCGGUGAAAUGCGUAGAGAUGUGGAGGAACACCAGUGGCGAAGGCGACUCUCUGGUCUGUAACUGACGCUGAGGAGCGAAAGCGUGGGGAGCGAACAGGAUUAGAUACCCCCGUAGUCCA
Molecule: ribosomal RNA, 270 nt
Filed under: Bacillus subtilis
Lineage: Bacteria; Bacillati; Bacillota; Bacilli; Caryophanales; Bacillaceae
Description: partial 16S ribosomal RNA
Rfam family: Bacterial small subunit ribosomal RNA
Source: RNAcentral